This 251-nucleotide ribosomal RNA is filed under the name uncultured prokaryote. Its description in RNAcentral is "partial 16S rRNA". It matches the Rfam family "Bacterial small subunit ribosomal RNA", at positions 525 to 775 of the family's 1533-position model. The record is from RNAcentral.
ACGUAGGGGGCAAGCGUUAUCCGGAUUUACUGGGUGUAAAGGGUGCGCAGGCGGAUGAGUAAGUCAGAGGUGAAAGCCUGUGGCUCAACUACAGAACUGCCUCUGAUACUGCAUAUCUUGAGUUCGGAAGAGAGAAGCGGAAUUCCAGGUGUAGUAGUGAAAUACGUAGAUAUCUGGAAGAACACCAGUGGCGAAGGCGGCUUAUUGGUCCGUAACUGACGCUGAGGCGCGAAAGCGUGGGGAGCAAACAG